AACGAACGCUGGCGGCAGGCCUAACACAUGCAAGUCGAGCGAGGACUUCGGUUCUAGCGGCGGACGGGUGAGUUACGCGAGGGAAUGUGCCCUUCUCUACGGACUAGCCCUGGGAAACUGGGAGUAAUACCGUAUACGCCCUAUUGGGGAAAGAUUUAUCGGAGAAGGAUCAGCCCGCGUUGGAUUAGGUAGUUGGUGGGGUAAUGGCCUACCAAGCCGACGAUCCAUAGCUGGUUUGAGAGGAUGAUCAGCCACACUGGGACUGAGACACGGCCCAGACUCCUACGGGAGGCAGCAGUAGGGAAUCUUAGACAAUGGGGGCAACCCUGAUCUAGCCAUGCCGCGUGAGUGAUGAAGGCCUUAGGAUUGUAAAGCUAUUUCAGCUGGGAAGAUAAUGACGGUACCAGCAGAAGAAGCCCCGGCUAACUCCGUG
RNAcentral lists this ribosomal RNA (433 nucleotides) under uncultured bacterium. Its description in RNAcentral is "partial 16S ribosomal RNA". It matches the Rfam family "Bacterial small subunit ribosomal RNA", at positions 29 to 507 of the family's 1533-position model. The record is from RNAcentral.